RNAcentral lists this ribosomal RNA (547 nucleotides) under uncultured bacterium. RNAcentral describes it as "bacterial SSU rRNA". It matches the Rfam family "Bacterial small subunit ribosomal RNA", at positions 355 to 895 of the family's 1533-position model. The record is from RNAcentral.
UGGGGAAUUUUGGACAAUGGGCGAAAGCCUGAUCCAGCAAUGCCGCGUGCAGGAUGAAGGCCUUCGGGUUGUAAACUGCUUUUGUACGGAACGAAACGGUCUGAGUUAAUACCUCGGGCUAAUGACGGUACCGUAAGAAUAAGCACCGGCUAACUACGUGCCAGCAGCCGCGGUAAUACGUAGGGUGCAAGCGUUAAUCGGAAUUACUGGGCGUAAAGCGUGCGCAGGCGGUUUUGUAAGACAGAUGUGAAAUCCCCGGGCUUAACCUGGGAACUGCAUUUGUGACUGCAAGGCUAGAGUACGGCAGAGGGGGAUGGAAUUCCGCGUGUAGCAGUGAAAUGCGUAGAUAUGCGGAGGAACACCGAUGGCGAAGGCAAUCCCCUGGGCCUGUACUGACGCUCAUGCACGAAAGCGUGGGGAGCAAACAGGAUUAGAUACCCUGGUAGUCCACGCCCUAAACGAUGUCAACUGGUUGUUGGGUCUUCACUGACUCAGUAACGAAGCUAACGCGUGAAGUUGACCGCCUGGGGAGUACGGCCGCAAGGUG